GCCUGGUGCAGUGCUGCAUGCCUAUAGGCCCAGUUACUCGGGAGGCUAAGGCAGGAGAUUCACUUGAGCCUAGGAGUUCUGGGCUGCAGUGCGCUAUGCUAAUCGGGUGCCUGUACUAAAUUGUGAACCAAUAAGGUGACCUCCUGGGAGCGGGAGACCACCAGGUUGCUAAGGAGGGGUGAACUAGCCCAGGCUGGAAACGGAGCAAGUCAAAACUCCCAUGCUGAUCAGUAGUGGGAUCAAGCCUGUCAAUAGUCACUGCACUCCAGCCUGAGCAACAUAGAGAGACCCCGUCAUU
Molecule: signal recognition particle RNA, 298 nt
Filed under: Dasypus novemcinctus (nine-banded armadillo)
Lineage: Eukaryota; Metazoa; Chordata; Mammalia; Cingulata; Dasypodidae
Description: Metazoan signal recognition particle RNA (ENSDNOG00000040754.1)
Rfam family: Metazoan signal recognition particle RNA
About the family: The signal recognition particle (SRP) is a universally conserved ribonucleoprotein. It is involved in the co-translational targeting of proteins to membranes.
Source: RNAcentral